This 70-nucleotide transfer RNA is filed under the name Dipodomys ordii (Ord's kangaroo rat). It matches the Rfam family "tRNA". From Rfam's summary of the family: Transfer RNA (tRNA) molecules are approximately 80 nucleotides in length. Lineage: Eukaryota; Metazoa; Chordata; Mammalia; Rodentia; Heteromyidae. The record is from Rfam by way of RNAcentral.
GGGACUGUGGCUUAGUGGUAGAGUGCUUGCUUAGCAUGCAUGAAGCCCAGGGUUCAAUUCCUCAGUACCA